This 251-nucleotide ribosomal RNA is filed under the name uncultured bacterium. Its description in RNAcentral is "partial 16S ribosomal RNA". It matches the Rfam family "Bacterial small subunit ribosomal RNA", at positions 524 to 775 of the family's 1533-position model. The record is from RNAcentral.
UACGAAGGGGGCUAGCGUUGCUCGGAAUUACUGGGCGUAAAGCGCACGUAGGCGGUCUUUUAAGUCGGGGGUGAAAUCCUGGAGCUCAACUCCAGAACUGCCUCGAUACUGGAAGACUCGAGUCCGGGAGAGGUGAGUGGAACUGCGAGUGUAGAGGUGAAAUUCGUAGAUAUUCGCAAGAACACCAGUGGCGAAGGCGGCUCACUGGCCCGGUACUGACGCUGAGGUGCGAAAGCGUGGGGAGCAACAGG